Molecule: long non-coding RNA, 469 nt
Organism: Olea europaea var. sylvestris
Lineage: Eukaryota; Viridiplantae; Streptophyta; Magnoliopsida; Lamiales; Oleaceae
Exons: 3
Source: RefSeq, a predicted model, not a curated record
AAUAGCAGUUCCAGCAUAGAGUUUGAAAUAUAUCAGCAACACCAAUUACAAAACCACUCCAAUUUCCAGUUCCCUCUUCCCUUUUAACACUAAAAUCAUGUCGGACAAGUGCGGAAGCUGCGACUGUGCUGACAAGAGUCAAUGCGUGAAGGGUAACACCUUCAGCAUGGACAUUGUGGAGACAGACAAGAGCUACGCUGAGACGGUUCUGUUGGAUGCUCCAGCAGCUGAGAACGACGGCAAUUGCAAGUGCGGUCCAAGCUGCGCUUGCAUCGACUGUACCUGUGGUGAAUGAACGCAAAAUAAUUAGUUACAGGGACACAAAAACUUUAUACUAUUUAAGUAUGUUUGAAUAAGGUUUUAUCGUUGUACUCCCCUGUUGUGUCAAUUUGUGUCCCUGUCUGUCUUUUACAUUUAAUUUUACUUGUGUUCUGUCAUUAAUGAAAUAUUAUUAGUGUCUACAUGUUCU